Molecule: non-coding RNA, 229 nt
Organism: Cinara cedri
Lineage: Eukaryota; Metazoa; Arthropoda; Insecta; Hemiptera; Aphididae
Source: the annotation of a GenBank genome assembly
AGUAUGCAAGUAAAGUGCCUUUCUUCCCGGACCCUCUCCGCCGACAUUUAACAUCGUCUUCUACCGCCGGAUUGAUGAUACGGCCUAAUAAAAGAGACGUUCGACUACCACCGCCGCUAUAAACCGCUUUAGUCUCCCCCAGCCCCUCCGCGAGGCUAAUUAACCAGGAAAUUGUCGGAGCUUAUAUUAAAAUUACUGCAAUAUAAUUAAAUUUUCAAUAAAAAAUAUC